Molecule: long non-coding RNA, 507 nt
Organism: Syngnathoides biaculeatus (alligator pipefish)
Lineage: Eukaryota; Metazoa; Chordata; Actinopteri; Syngnathiformes; Syngnathidae
Exons: 2
Source: RefSeq, a predicted model, not a curated record
AAAGCCGAAGGCAAUUAUCUCCGUAAUUGCGUCAACGCUUGCUCCAUUUGUGCCUCGUCAGUGUGAUGGGAUUUUUUUUUUUUUUUUAACAAUGGCGUCACGGUGGAUGGUAGGAGAAAAAGUGCUUCUUUGUUCACCUGAGGCGUGGGUGUUUUUUUUUCCCAAUACAUCAACAGGGAAGUGUGUCUUGAAAUCAUUUUACUUUUAAGCUUAAAGCAUCGUCAUGUGAGACAUCAUGAAAUGUGGUGAGACUUGGGCUUCAGUCAGCACCGACCUUACGGAUGGGCAUGGCGUCUCCCUGCGAGCUGACCAUCUCCACCUCAAUGCGCUCCAUCAACCCCUCCAGCUGGUCUCGCACGUCCCGCGCUCGCCUCAUGGACCGGAACUGGAUGAAGUUCUCGUAGCACCACUGCGUCGAGUAGCCGCUCUCCACCCACUAAGGCGGACAGGGCCAAGAGUGUCAAACAUUUUCACAAAAAAAAUGCCCAUUAAAAAAGUCCAAAUAUU